Molecule: ribosomal RNA, 497 nt
Filed under: uncultured bacterium
Lineage: Bacteria
Description: partial 16S ribosomal RNA
Rfam family: Bacterial small subunit ribosomal RNA
Source: RNAcentral
GAUGAACGCUGGCGGCGUGCCUAAUACAUGCAAGUCGAGCGAACGGACGAGAAGCUUGCUUUUCUGAUGUUAGCGGCGGACGGGUGAGUAACACGUGGAUAACCUACCUAUAAGACUGGGAUAACUUCGGGAAACCGGAGCUAAUACCGGAUAAAAUUUUGAACCGCAUGGUUCAAAAGUGAAAGACGGUCUUGCUGUCACUUAUAGAUGGAUCCGCGCCGCAUUAGCUAGUUGGUAAGGUAACGGCUUACCAAGGCAACGAUGCAUAGCCGACCUGAGAGGGUGAUCGGCCACACUGGAACUGAGACACGGUCCAGACUCCUACGGGAGGCAGCAGUAGGGAAUCUUCCGCAAUGGGCGAAAGCCUGACGGAGCAACGCCGCGUGAGUGAUGAAGGUCUUCGGAUCGUAAAACUCUGUUAUUAGGGAAGAACAUAUGUGUAAGUAACUGUGCACAUCUUGACGGUACCUAAUCAGAAAGCCACGGCUAACUACGUG